ACGUGCCAUCUUACGCCUCUACCGGUAGUACUAGGAUGGGUGACCUCCUGGGAAGUCCUCGUGUUGCACCCC
RNAcentral lists this small RNA (72 nucleotides) under Salix viminalis (osier). Lineage: Eukaryota; Viridiplantae; Streptophyta; Magnoliopsida; Malpighiales; Salicaceae. The record is from RNAcentral.